GCGGUAGGCCUAACACAUGCAAGUCGAACGGCAGCACAGAGGAGCUUGCUCCUUGGGUGGCGAGUGGCGGACGGGUGAGGAAUACAUCGGAAUCUACUUUUUCGUGGGGGAUAACGUAGGGAAACUUACGCUAAUACCGCAUACGACCUACGGGUGAAAGCAGGGGACCUUCGGGCCUUGCGCGAUUGAAUGAGCCGAUGUCGGAUUAGCUAGUUGGCGGGGUAAAGGCCCACCAAGGCGACGAUCCGUAGCUGGUCUGAGAGGAUGAUCAGCCACACUGGAACUGAGACACGGUCCAGACUCCUACGGGAGGCAGCAGUGGGGAAUAUUGGACAAUGGGCGCAAGCCUGAUCCAGCCAUACCGCGUGGGUGAAGAAGGCCUUCGGGUUGUAAAGCCCUUUUGUUGGGAAAGAAAUCCAGCCGGCUAAUACCUGGUUGGGAUGACGGUACCCAAAGAAUAAGCACCGGCUAACUUCGUGCCAGCAGCCGCGGUAAUACGAAGGGUGCAAGCGUUACUCGGAAUUACUGGGCGUAAAGCGUGCGUAGGUGGUUGUUUAAGUCUGUUGUGAAAGCCCUGGGCUCAACCUGGGAACUGCAGUGGAAACUGGACAACUAGAGUGUGGUAGAGGGUAGCGGAAUUCCCGGUGUAGCAGUGAAAUGCGUAGAGAUCGGGAGGAACAUCCAUGGCGAAGGCAGCUACCNGGACCAACAC
Molecule: ribosomal RNA, 712 nt
Filed under: Stenotrophomonas maltophilia
Lineage: Bacteria; Pseudomonadati; Pseudomonadota; Gammaproteobacteria; Lysobacterales; Lysobacteraceae
Description: bacterial SSU rRNA
Rfam family: Bacterial small subunit ribosomal RNA
Source: RNAcentral